This 62-nucleotide non-coding RNA is filed under the name Pseudoduganella umbonata. Its description in RNAcentral is "toxic small RNA". It matches the Rfam family "Betaproteobacteria toxic small RNA". From Rfam's summary of the family: Overexpression in amino aid rich medium attenuates growth, suggesting role in repressing amino acid intake and metabolism. The record is from RNAcentral. Lineage: Bacteria; Pseudomonadati; Pseudomonadota; Betaproteobacteria; Burkholderiales; Oxalobacteraceae.
UGUCUCCUCCAACUCUUCACAGAAUUGGAUUUUGGCCGGUGCGAUGCACCGGCCAUUUUUUU